UUAAUUACUUUUUUAGUGUUCCUUUCUCAUGUGGGUAUUUGAAGAUCUGGUGUAUAUUUCCAUCAAACUCUUCCGUGUUGUUAUGAAGUAUCCGUUGAGGAUUCAGGAAAAUGUACCUGUCACGUGAAAGUUUUACUUUCUUUUGUGAAAUUAGAUAGCUGAUUUGUACAGCCUGGUUUACUGUAUGUAUGAACCACUUGUCUAACCCUUGGAAAGAGCUAUUUAGAUGUAUGAGAACUGUAAUCCUCCAGCUAAGCAGGAUUUAGAUAAAUGGAUUAUAGAGGCACAGAAGGAGUCGAUACCACUUACUAGGUUAAACUGUACUUUGUUACUAUUUGACAGAUAACAUAGUUCACAUUUUAUAACUUACGGUGUGUGCCAAAAAACAUUUUGACCCAUCAGGGUAGUAAUGGCUUAGAAAAAGUAGUUCCAGCCUCUAGGGAAAAUAAUGCACUUACCUUUGUACUCAUAAAUAUCAUUUAUAUGUAUUAUUCAUGGUCAUUGGCUGCCCUUAAGCAUAUAUACAGUACAUAUUUUAUCACUUUAUGAAAUCACAUCCAUCCUUUUAUCUCCUUCUUCUUCCUUUGAUUGUCACAAAUCCUAUUCAUCAAACUUCUUAGGUCUUAGCUAUUCAGAGUGCCAUCAAGGUAGUCAUUCAUUCACUCACUCAUUGAUUCAUUUUUUGGUUGAAUAAAUAUUUAUUGGCUAGUUGGUAGAUACUAGGCACUGAGGUUCCAAAGAUAAUCCGGCCUUAGAGAUACCUGAGAGUUUUUUUUAAUGUUUAUUUAUUUUUGAGAGAGAGAGAGGGGCAGAGAGUGAGCGGGGAAGGGGCAGAGAGAGAGAGGGAGACACAGAAUCUGAAGUAGGCUUCAUGCUGUGAGCGGUUAGCAAAGAGCCCGAUGCGGGGCUUGCACUUAACAAACCGUAGGAUCAGGACCUGAGCUGAAGUUGGACGCUUAACCGACUGAGCCUCCCAGGUGCCCCUCAUUCUCUAAUUAUCAUAGGAGGCUCCAAGAGGCUAAUAUGUAUAGGAUAGUAAGAGAAUCUUUGUGUAAUGUUUAUCUUAACAAUAGCUAUAUGUUAUGUUAGUCUAAUAGACCAUAUCAUAGUUGUCCGAUUUCCAGUUGUAGAGGAAAACAGUAGGUAUAGCCAAAAAAAAUAGAGGCAGGCUUUAGAUUCCCGUUUUACAGAAAUGCCAGUAAUUUGUUCAUUCUCCAUUCCCUACCACCUCGCACUACCUUGUUUUUUAAUUGCGUGUAUACCUAUGGUUGAAAAUGUGUUCAAAAACCACUUGAUUUUUAUGCUUGUGGUGUAAUUUUAUUUUAAAGAAAAACAGAAGGUUUUGGAAAUACCUCAGAUUUCCUGUCGCAAGACCAUAUGAGCCGCACUUUUAAUUCUAACUAAAGUGUUUCCCUUUGGACUCAUAUAUAUUGCCUGGGUUUAUUAGGCAGAGCCCCUUGGGGCCCCUAAGUAACCAAUAUAUAUGUAGCAUAUAGUAUUUUUCAUUUAAAAUAGUAAUAAUUUGAUAUUUCCUCACAGUAUAAUUCAAAACACCAGAAGUGUAUUUCACGUGGCUGAAUUAGCACUGGCAGCUGUAUUUCUGUGAGCUUUACAGACAAGGAAAAAUGUUCAUAUAUCUUUACCUGAGGGCCUAGAACAACUUGUUAAUCAGUUUGAUGAAGUUUAAUGCAAAGGCUUAGUGUUAAGGGGCAUAUUUUCCUCUUUCCUACUAAUAAUAAGCAUUAAAACAUAUGGAAACAAGAGUUAUUCACCCAGGAGAAAGGCCUUCUUAAAUAUAAGAAGCAGAUGUUAACAAAAAUUUCUGCACGCUUUGUAUGUCUUUCUCUUCGCUAGCCAUUUGUACCAAGUUAACAUUCUUGGUAUAAACAAUAGAAACCAACUUUGACUCUGCAGAAAAGGAAAAUUAUUGGGAGAAUAUUGGCUCUCAGGCAGAAUUGACGGGAAGGCUAAACAACCAGGCUCAGAAGGCAAGGACUGAGAGAGGUAAGGUACCUAGAACUUCAGCCCAGUCUCUGCCCCCAACGAGAGUCUAACUGGGACACACUGCUGGCCCUGCCGUUGUGCAAUGCCACGGACACGAGGAUGGUGUCAGAGCUCUCCCCUGAUUCUCUUGUUAGUCAGUUUGGAUGUAGGUUCCAGUUCAGAGCAUCUGACUGACUGACCUAGACCAGGGAAAAACCUCCCUCCCUCCCUCCAUCUUCUGUGGUGAGAAGCUGGCUCUGGCCCCCAACAAUCUCAGGACUGACAUAGGAAAGAUACUUAGAUGUCAGAUGUCAGGCAUCUUCAGAUGGCAAAUGCCCACAACCUAUAGGGAUGCUAAAUGAUCUGAAAUUAUUUAGUUGCUGUGUUUAGUAGGAAUUAUUUAUUUGUUAUCUUGAAGUUGGUAGGAGACUGGUUGGUGUUUUAAAACCUGUUGUCUGAGAGCCAGCAAAAAAGAAAAAGCAAGCAUAUUUGUAAGAAAAACGGGACUGAUUGGAUUUUGGUAGGUAGCGAUGGAGUAGAGGGAAAGAAUAUGGGGCAGUGGAUGUGGAAAAAGGAAGAAAUCAAGAAUGAUGCUCCGUUUUCUGGUUUGGAGUCUUCAGUUAAUGGAGGUGCCAUUGAUCGAGAAGGAGGACACAACAAGAAAGAUCACAAGUGUUGCAGGAGUGGAGAUAAGGUGAUCUCCAUUGUGGGCAUGUUCUCUUCAUUGUGCCCAUAAGACAUUCAAGAAAUGAAACAUAUAUACUGGGCAGAUAAAGGUUUGGAUAUAAAAUCCUGAAGCUGGACGAAAAAUAGGGAAUUAUGAAUCACAAGAUACGAAUAGAAGUUGAAUCCUAAGGAUUGGGUAAGAUUGCCCAGAGAAAACCGUAAAGCAGGAAAAGAGCAAGAUUUGGAACAUAAUGCAUCAUGGCUGUUUAAGAGAUAGACAAAGGUAGAGGAGCCCAUGAAGCAAGCUGAGAAAGUCGGACCCAAGUUGCAGAAGGAAAUGCAAAAUAGCAUUCAUCUUCUCUAGCAAGAUUUCAUAAAUUACAUGUUCUAGAACAGUGGUUUUUCAAACAUUAGUGUGUGUCAAAAUCACCUGGGUUGCUUGCUAAAACUUUGGUUUCCCACACCCACACCCACACCCAGAGAUUUCCACACAGCAAGGGCAGGGUAGUAGCCAUUUCUGCAUUUUUAAUAGUCUUCCAAGAUCUAACAUAGUUGGUGAUUCUUGAAAUAUACUUUGAGAAACAUCUUUCUAGGAGACAAUGUGAAAUGGUUGAAAAAACAAGGCUUUUUUCAGACUUAGGUUAGGGUCCUGGCUUUUAUAAUCUACUGGUUAUAUGGCCAUGAGCAAAUCAAUUAUUUUAAGAUUUGUUUUUCCAUCAGUGCUGGGGAUGUAAUAAAUAACUUCUUCCUCUCAGAAUUAUUUUGUGGUAUAGAUGAGAUAUGUUAUUAAAUUCCUGGCCUACAGAAGGAGCUCAGGAAGUGUGAGUUGUCUUUUGGACACUUAGCAAACCCAGAACACAGCUGUAAACCUAAAAGCCAGUGAAAAAGUAGAAGGAAAUUGCUAUCAUUAACCUCACGCAUUUUGUUUUGUAAGAGAUCAGAGCCGCCUGCUUUUUACCUUGAACCUACUGAAUUAGAAUUGUGUAAAAUUAAGUUACUGAUUUAAUAGAUUUUAUUAUCUAGUUUCUCCUGGCAGACUUCAGUUCUGUAGACAUUAAAUUUGAACAGCAUGAUAUGGGCAAGGUUAAAGUGUGAAAUAGAAGCUGAAGGAAAUUUGAUAGAGGGACAAAUACCUCAAAAAUCCUGAAGGCAUUAAUGUUAUAAAAGCUAGAUACUCAAAUAAUACUACUAAAUUGUCAAGAAAAUGUUAAAUUAUGUUUGAAAGAAUUGUUUGAGAAGUCAGGGAAGUAUAUCUUUCAGAAAGAUUUCCAUUAUAAUGACUAACAUUUUACAGAUGUUUGGCACUUAAAGGAAUAAGCUUGGGCUAUUUCGGAAGUUCCCAUAAAUGCAAUACUUAUUAGUCUUUUGCAGUUUUGGGUAAAUCAACUUAUAUGACUUAAUUGGCAUGUUACUGUUUUUAACACUUCGUCUCAAGUCAAGAAGUGUUCUUGAAACUAUCCUAGAAGGCGUUGUGGAAUUAAUCUAUAUAUAUAUUAUUAUGGAUUGCCAUAUAAUGCUAUGGUUUUCUCCUUUUUCUCUAUCUGGAAGAGAUGCUAAUGUGAAGAGAGAGGAGCAGAGUCUUAUCAAAGCCAUGACUACACCCAUUUCAUAUCUUGAGUUUUUUGUCCCACAUUGUCUGAUUAGAAACAUGGCUACUGGGGUGCCUGGGUGGCUCAGUCAGUUAAGUGUCCGACUUCGGCUCAGGUCAUGAUCUCAUGGCUGAUGGGUUCGAGCCCCGCAUCAGGCUCUGUGCUGACAGCUCAGAGCCUGGAGCCUGCUUUGGAUUCUGUAUCUCCCUCUCCCUCUCUCUCUGUCUCUCUCUGCCCCUUCCCCACUCGUACUCUGUCUCUCUGUCUCUUAAAAAAUAAACAUUAAAAAAAAAAAAAAAAAGAAA
Neofelis nebulosa (Clouded leopard) is the source of this 4543-nucleotide long non-coding RNA. RefSeq lists it as uncharacterized. The transcript is spliced from 2 exons. Lineage: Eukaryota; Metazoa; Chordata; Mammalia; Carnivora; Felidae. The record is from RefSeq and is a predicted model, not a curated record.